GACGAACGCUGGCGGCGGGCUUAACACAUGCAAGUCGAACGGAAAGGCCCUGCUUUUGUGGGGUGCUCGAGUGGCGAACGGGUGAGUAACACGUGAGUAACCUGCCCUUGACUUUGGGAUAACUUCAGGAAACUGGGGCUAAUACCGGACAGGAGCCCCUGUUGCAUGGUGGGGGUUGGAAAGUUUCGGCGGUUGGGGAUGGAUUCGCGGCUUAUCAGCUUGUUGGUGGGGUAGUGGCUUACCAAGGCUUUGACGGGUAGCCGGCCUGAGAGGGUGGCCGGCCACAAUGGGACUGAGGUACGGCCCAGACUCCUACGGGAGGCAGCAGUGGGGAAUAUUGCACAGUGGGCGGAAGCCUGAUGAAGCAACGCCGCGUGCGGGAUGACGGCCUUCGGGUUGUGAACCGCUUUCGCCUAUGACGAAGCGUGAGUGACGGUAAUGGAUGAAGAAGCACCGGCUAACUACGUG
Molecule: ribosomal RNA, 468 nt
Filed under: uncultured bacterium
Lineage: Bacteria
Description: partial 16S ribosomal RNA
Rfam family: Bacterial small subunit ribosomal RNA
Source: RNAcentral